AAGUGACUGUAGGUUUAGAUGAAUGGAAAAUGAACUUGCCAAUCCACAGCUAUGUCCUUCCCAAUUUGGGAGGUUCAGGGCAGGAAGAACAUGAGAAACUCUUUUGAGAAGCUGCACAAGCUGACAUUGAGGAUCAAGGAUUUCAAAAGCUUUGAAUAUAAAGAGGUGUCAACUUACUUCAGAGCCUGAGACUUGACAUGCCUAUUUUUGCACUCGCUCCUCUUUCAGAUUUCAUAGGCAUUGCUCCCUCCAAAUCACCGCUCUUCUAAUUUUAUCCUGGAGUGUGCAUCCCAGAAGACAUAAGCUGACACAAUUGGAAACUGAAGUUGCUUGAAAAAGCUGGCGGUAAGAUUAGGGAUCAAUGUCAUGUAUCACUAUUUCUCAAAGACUAUCUGGUCUCUUGAUGGCAAACCUACAUUAUUGAAACCCUUGAAAGAGAAUUGUGUUUUGUGAGUUACAUGACUACCGUUUGCAUCCAAGGUCUCCUCUGUAAUCAAGAGAAGAAUGCAGAAGCUACAUGUUCAAGAAUCUCUUUCCAGAGUCCUUCUCUGUCACCCAGGUUGGAGUGCAGUGGCACCAUCUCAGCUCAUUGCAACCUCCACCUCCGAGGUUCAAGCAAUUCUCCUACCUCAGCCUCCCGAGUAGCUGGGACUACAGGCACGUGCCACCAAACCCAGCUAAUUUUUGUAGUUUUUAGUAGAGAUGGGGUUCACCAUAUUGGACAGGCUGGUCUUGAAAUCAUGACCUCAAGUAAUCUGCCUGACUUGGCUUCCCAAAGUGCUGGGAUUACAGACAUAAGCCACCAUGCCUGGUCCAAUACAAUGAUAUUAAGAGGUGAUGCUUUAAGGAGGUGAUUAGGUCAUGAGGACUUCUUCCCUCAUUAGUUGGACUAAGGUCCUUAUACAAGAGGCUUCACACACCAUUUGGUUCUAGCUGUGCUUCUGCCUCCUGCCAUGUGAGGACACAGCAUUUCCCCCUCUGGAGGAUUUAGCAACAAGGAACCAUCUUGGAAGCAGAGAGCAACCAUUUCCUAGACAACCAAACCUGCUAGAGCCUGGAUCUUGAACUUCUCAGCCUUCAAAACUAUGAGAAAUACUUUUCUGAUUAUUAUUAGCUACCCAGUUUCAAGUAUUUUGUUAUAGAAGCACAAAAUGGACCAAGAUGAUGAAUUUCUGAGACUGCUGACACCAUCAUAGGAGCAACAUGUUUAUUGUGUAAUCUCUUGAGACUUAUCAGAAGUUAGAAAGAAGGAGGAAUACAUUCUACUGCCCACAAAGAUUCUUUGAACUUUGAAUUUUGAUAAUUUUGAUGGAUCUAAGCACAACAUUUAAUUGUGAGUACAUGCUAUUAAACUGAAGAACAAAAGAAAGUUAUAUGUAUUUACAGAUGUUUGUGGAGAAAGAUGAAAAAAUAUUGACAAUAUUCAACCUGUACAAUGCAGAGUUGGUGAAAUUCAAAAAGUAUGAUUGCAGGAAAAUAAAGCUAGUUGGCUUCCAACUGGUAAAAGUUCACACUAUGAAGAAUUAACUCCCCCACACUUCCUGUCUGCAUAGGCCUAUGCCUUCACAAGAACAAGUUCCCACACCAGGGUCAAGAAGGAAGCCAUAAGUCAAGACAAAAGUGCACAGUGAAGGCAGAAGAUGAGGGGCCUCAGGUUGCAUCUUCUGAGGCACGAGGAUUCAAAGGUGAACAAAGCACACAGCACAUCAUUUGAUGUGGUAAGUUUCAUAGACAUAGAAGUAAGGGGGACGGAAUGUCGAAGUGUGUGUGGUGGGGAAGGAGGGGAAUUCAAAUGAGAUUCUGAUCAUUAAAUAAACUUGAAACAACUUGGAAAGGUGAAGUAAAACAACAGCCAUUUUCCUGACACUCAAGGAUUGCUUCUGCAGGUGCAGAAAACAAUGACAGCUUCAGAUAUUCUAUGAUGUACAGAUGCCAUUUAUCAAAUUCUUUGAUUUUAAGUAAUAAUGGUGUUGGUGCAGCCAGAGUUGCAAAAGAGGACUGUUGAUUCCAACACAGUCUCAAAGAUGGUUGAAUUAUGUGCUUCUUCUAAUGUGUCUAUUGUUCUGGAACCCAUAUUUGGAUGCGUCUUAAUCCCUAUCUAUGAUUUUGAAACCGUUUAAUUAUUUACUUCUCCAUAUGUCUGGAGGCAGUACUACACAUUGGAAGUUUGAGAAAAUAGGAUACUUAAAUAUUUAUUUAAGAUAACUGAAGAGUAAUUAGUCCAGGGAAAGAUUAUAGGAUUCCCUAGAGGUAUAGGGCCUAUUGGAGAUGAUCAAAUUAAAAUGAAGUCAUUCAUAAUGAUUUUUUUUCACUAGUCCUCUCACGCCUGCAUGAGGAGAAGAUGUGAACAAGUAAAUAAUUGGCUUUAACCUGUACUUUUCCCACUUGCAUAAAAUGAGGAUGUUAAUGGGAAUUGUGGGUAUGUGAAAGAUGAAGAUUAUGAUGAUAGGCCACAGAAUUUAAGUUUAGGAAAAUGGAAAGUGAGAGCAUUUGGUGGUUAGAGAGUAAAAAGGUAGUAGAAACUAUGAUUCGGACAAGGCAAUUAAAUAGGAGUGAAGUAGAGCAAAUAAAAGGAAACACUGUUAAGGCAGAAGGUUGAUACUAUAGAAUUCUGAGAUAAUAAUAAACUAUUGUUUGGAAAUAAAAUUUAUUUGUUUAUUUA
Long non-coding RNA from Symphalangus syndactylus (siamang), 2662 nucleotides. RefSeq lists it as uncharacterized. The record is from RefSeq and is a predicted model, not a curated record. NCBI's taxonomy places the organism in Eukaryota, Metazoa, Chordata, Mammalia, Primates, Hylobatidae.